RNAcentral lists this ribosomal RNA (1276 nucleotides) under Kocuria rosea. RNAcentral's name for it is "bacterial SSU rRNA". It matches the Rfam family "Bacterial small subunit ribosomal RNA", at positions 118 to 1404 of the family's 1533-position model. The record is from RNAcentral. Lineage: Bacteria; Bacillati; Actinomycetota; Actinomycetes; Micrococcales; Micrococcaceae.
UGAGUAACCUGCCCUUGACUCUGGGAUAAGCCUGGGAAACUGGGUCUAAUACUGGAUACUACCUCUUACCGCAUGGUGGGUGGUGGAAAGGGUUUUACUGGUUUUGGAUGGGCUCACGGCCUAUCAGCUUGUUGGUGGGGUAAUGGCUCACCAAGGCGACGACGGGUAGCCGGCCUGAGAGGGUGACCGGCCACACUGGGACUGAGACACGGCCCAGACUCCUACGGGAGGCAGCAGUGGGGAAUAUUGCACAAUGGGCGGAAGCCUGAUGCAGCGACGCCGCGUGAGGGAUGACGGCCUUCGGGUUGUAAACCUCUUUCAGUAGGGAAGAAGCGAGAGUGACGGUACCUGCAGAAGAAGCGCCGGCUAACUACGUGCCAGCAGCCGCGGUAAUACGUAGGGCGCAAGCGUUGUCCGGAAUUAUUGGGCGUAAAGAGCUCGUAGGCGGUUUGUCGCGUCUGCUGUGAAAGCCCGGGGCUCAACCCCGGGUCUGCAGUGGGUACGGGCAGACUAGAGUGCAGUAGGGGAGACUGGAAUUCCUGGUGUAGCGGUGAAAUGCGCAGAUAUCAGGAGGAACACCGAUGGCGAAGGCAGGUCUCUGGGCUGUUACUGACGCUGAGGAGCGAAAGCAUGGGGAGCGAACAGGAUUAGAUACCCUGGUAGUCCAUGCCGUAAACGUUGGGCACUAGGUGUGGGGGACAUUCCACGUUUUCCGCGCCGUAGCUAACGCAUUAAGUGCCCCGCCUGGGGAGUACGGCCGCAAGGCUAAAACUCAAAGGAAUUGACGGGGGCCCGCACAAGCGGCGGAGCAUGCGGAUUAAUUCGAUGCAACGCGAAGAACCUUACCAAGGCUUGACAUUCACCGGACCGCCCCAGAGAUGGGGUUUCCCUUCGGGGCUGGUGGACAGGUGGUGCAUGGUUGUCGUCAGCUCGUGUCGUGAGAUGUUGGGUUAAGUCCCGCAACGAGCGCAACCCUCGUUCUAUGUUGCCAGCACGUGAUGGUGGGGACUCAUAGGAGACUGCCGGGGUCAACUCGGAGGAAGGUGGGGAUGACGUCAAAUCAUCAUGCCCCUUAUGUCUUGGGCUUCACGCAUGCUACAAUGGCCGGUACAAAGGGUUGCGAUACUGUGAGGUGGAGCUAAUCCCAAAAAGCCGGUCUCAGUUCGGAUUGAGGUCUGCAACUCGACCUCAUGAAGUCGGAGUCGCUAGUAAUCGCAGAUCAGCAACGCUGCGGUGAAUACGUUCCCGGGCCUUGUACACACCGCCCGUCAAGUCA